CAGUGGAGAGAGAGAGAGAGGGGAAAGAAGGAGGUUGGGCUCGGCGGCGGCCGACGAGAAGGUAGCUCUCCUUGCUUCGGGGAGGGAGGGGACACGAGACAGAAGAUAGAGUGGAGGGCACUAGAGACGGCAGGGUGGAGGGGGCUAAGUAGAAGUCUAGCUCCGAAGGCCUCCGACGUAGCUCUCAUCGUGGCGGUGCGGGUUGAGGCGAGGGAAGGCCACGAUUAGGUACGAGUCGUCUAGACCAGCGCUUUUCCUGCCGCGGGGUGGCGGGGACGACCUAGGCGGCUCGGUCGCCGGCCUAGAUAGCUCUACGCGGCCCUAGGGCUCGGAACAAGGAGGGGUGGAAGAGGAGGCAGCUGUCAUCCGUCGUCUCGUUCCGCGCCCGCUGACGAGGCCGGUCUCCUCCCGCACUCCACGCUGCGCCGGAGUGACCCCGCACUGAGGCAGUCGGUCGUGGCCGCGGGUUGACCCUAGGUGGCUUGGGUCCGCGCCGGAUGCCGCCCGCACGCCAAAACUCAAGUUGUCCUCUCGAGCGUGCUCUAACUCGCGACGAGGGCAGAAGGUCGCUUGGGUUUUCUCUCGUCUCCUCCUCUACUGGUUCCCGCAACCAGGCGGCUAGCCGUAGCUGGAGCCCUACUGGAUGAGGACGCAACCGCACACCGUCGUCCAGCUGUAGUACCCGUCGCUGGUCCGGUGGUACCGUUGACGUGGUGCGGGAGGAUGCAGAGGUGGUAGUCUCUGCGGCGGUCCUUGGUCCAGCGUUACUUGAGGUGGUUGUGGCAGAAGACAAGCGGUGUCAACUCAUAACCUCUAGCACACACUAACUUUGUAGUAAAUGUAACUAGAACCGCUCCUGUUGUGUACCGAACGACCAGAAUUUGUAUAAAACA
RNAcentral lists this ribosomal RNA (893 nucleotides) under Triticum aestivum (bread wheat). RNAcentral's name for it is "partial small subunit ribosomal RNA". Lineage: Eukaryota; Viridiplantae; Streptophyta; Magnoliopsida; Poales; Poaceae. The record is from RNAcentral.